CAGCAACAUGGUGUAAAGAUUUCAAAUAAAGAGCAUUCGAUACAAAGCUUGGACCUGAAGAGAUUCAUGAUUCAGAAAACAAAGGGUGUUUAUAUUUUACAUUCUCCCGAGCGAAUUGUUGUUAAGACUAGUUCCGAGCUGCUACUCUAAUGGCGGUUUAGAUUUUUCAGCUUGGAGCUCCUUGUGCGUCAUAGACAACAAUGGUAGAACCUUUUUUCUCUUGAGAAAGAAAUACCACAAUCAAUGGUAGCAAAAGGCUUCUCUUUUCAGCUCCCUUUGUCAAAUAAGUUAGAAUGAUGACAAAAUGAGUCGAUGAGAAUCUGAGUGAUAUUGUCGACAACCGCUUUAAGUAUGUCCCAAGCGAUUGAGAAACCAUAGUGCUCCUUCUGCGGCUUGCUCUUCGGCCUCUUGUUCAUGAGGUUGUGAUUCACUGAAGCACUCCAAAAUAGUGAUUGUGAUUGUAUCUACCUCCAGAAUGAUCUUACACGAGAAUCUGCAAAUAAUCACAAGGAAAUAUAUAUGUGUAUAUAUGUGUUGUGUGUGUGAGAACUGCAGCUUGAUUGUAACAGAAAUACGCUACAUGUAUCAAGCACCGUGCACACAAAAAGGAAAAGUAAGCUCCUGUCGAUCACAGGAUCUGAGUUGGAAAUUCAUCAUAAUAAUUUGGCUAUCCAAGAUGCAUGAACAACCUCCAUUUGGAGAAUCUCUACAAGGUAAAUGUGAGCCAAUAAACAUCGAUGGGCCACUAUUCCAACAUACCGUAGGAAGUCCAUCAAAGAGUUCGUAGCUUAUUAAUGUUCCCUCUAAGGUUCAGGAUUCUUGUCUACCUUGUUGGUGUUUGGUAUUGAGUCUUCAAAUUUUGGGUUCGAGAAGACAUUAAGAGAGUAAAAGAUUAUCAUAUUUCUCAAGCUCCAAGCUCUUGCUCAGCUCAAUAUGCCAAGUCCACUGCUAAGUUUAUUUGGAUUUUAUAUCUUUCGGGAAAGCUAUUGCAAAAUUGCUCCGACCAUUGUUAACACCGAGUUAAAACGUAGAUCUUGCGAUUUGCUCUUUUGGUACAUUGCAGAAUUGUUGUAUUAGUCAAAUACUGAAUCUCAAACUGAGUUUCAGAAACUCAUCUUCUAUGCUCAUGCUCAAUAUCAUCUUAUACUAUGCUUGUACUUAUAUGUGCACUGUUAUUUGAUAUAAUCUUAGUUCGCUUCUAUAUUUGAUUUAUGUAGCUUGUUAUUUGAUCUCUUAGCUUUUACAAUGCGUAUUUGACCUUAUUCAGGGAUGUACAUUUAGUUCAUGUUUACCAUUUUUCAUGACUAACUUUCACUAUUUAUCAUCUCCCCUUUUACUUUCCUCCUGACAGAUAGAUCUUAUGCUUCAAUAACAGUCUAUAAAAAGAAAGACAUUAUCUAGUUUUCGAUAAAAUAUAUAAGGUACUAAUUUGAUUACGAUGAGCCAUGAUUUAUCAUCAUAAACAUUGCAAGAGGGAAAUUUUUAAGCUCUACAGAUAACAACUAACAUAUAGAAAAUGCCUCAGAAGUUUGUAGUGAUAUUCUAGAAAGAUAAUAACUGAUAUGCAGAAGUACUAAGAGACAAUAAGCGUAACCUGCCUUUUUUGUUGUUCAGGUCCUUCCUCGCACAAAAUAAAUGAUGGGUGUUUCCAGGAAUUUGCAGCACAGAUCAUAAGCAGCCGUGAUUUCGCAGUUCCUGUACCCUGAUCUCCUAUAAACGUUAAAAUGUCUUGGCAUGCCCUUGUUUUAUUGGUUGCAGUCAUCUCCUUGGAAAAACCGAUCGAUUCUGCUUCUCGACUCCUGUUUGCUAGAAAAAGUUCAUGUCCCACAAUCGAAUCAUCUUCAAUGGUACUUCUGGCUACAAUAAUCUCCUUACAAAAGCUAACUAAUUUGGCUUCUUGGCUUCUACUCUGGGGCUCCAUUUCGGAGAGCAAGCUUCCUUCAUGUGGGCGAUAAAGAGCC
Long non-coding RNA from Zingiber officinale, 1961 nucleotides. RefSeq lists it as uncharacterized. The record is from RefSeq and is a predicted model, not a curated record. The transcript has 2 exons. NCBI's taxonomy places the organism in Eukaryota, Viridiplantae, Streptophyta, Magnoliopsida, Zingiberales, Zingiberaceae.